RNA transcript from Dipodomys ordii (Ord's kangaroo rat), 1032 nucleotides. It is a transcript of the gene named poly(rC)-binding protein 2 pseudogene, with no coding region annotated. The record is from RefSeq and is a predicted model, not a curated record. NCBI's taxonomy places the organism in Eukaryota, Metazoa, Chordata, Mammalia, Rodentia, Heteromyidae. The transcript has a single exon.
CAGCUUCCUAUAACACUGCUCGACAUGGACACCCGUGAGAUGGAAGGUGGAUUAAAUGUCAUUCUCACCAUCAGGCUACUUAUGUAUGGAAAGGAAGUUGGCAGUAUCAUCGGAAAGAAAGGAGAAUCCGUUAAGAAGAUUAGAGAGGCGAGUGGUGCACGAAUCAACAUCUCAGAAGGGAAUUGUCCUGAGAGAAUUAUCACCUUGGUUGGACCCACUAAUGCCAUCUUUAAAGCUUUUGCCAUGAUCAUUGACAAACCAGAAAAAGACGUCGGCAGGUGUAUGAACAACACUACAGCUACCAGUAGACCUUUGAUCACUCUAAGGUUGGUGAUUCCUGCUAGUCAAUGUGGCUCUCUCAUUGGAAAAGGUGGUUGCAAGAUCAGGCAAAUACGAGAAAGUACAGGGGCUCAGAUCCAAAUGGCAGCAGACAUGCUUCCCAACUCAACUGAGAGGGCCAUCAGUAUUGCUGGCAUACCACAAUCCAUCAUUGAGUGUGUCAAACAGAUCUGCAUGGUCAUGUUGGAGUCUCCUCCAAAGGGCAUCACCAUUCCUUACCGGCCCAAGCCGUCAAGUUCUCUAGCCAGCUUUGUAGGCGGUCAGGACAGGUACAGCACCGGCAGCAACAGUGAGAGUUUCCCCCACACUAGCCCAUCCGUGUCCUUCAACCCUGACCAGGAGGGAUCGUCCAUAGACGUGACCAAAAUGCACCCGUUGGCAAUACAACAGUCUCAUUUUCCCAUGACAAAUGGCAACACCGGAUUCCGAGCAGGUUUGAAUGCGUCUGCUCACACUACUUGUCAAGAACUCACCAUCCCAAAUGAUUUGAUUGGCUGCAUCAUUGGGCGUCAAGGAGCCAAAAUCAAUGAGAUCCGUCGCAUGUCUGGGGCGCAGAUCAAAAUUGCAAAUCCAGUGGUAGGAUCUCCUGACAGACGGGUUACCAUCACUGGAUCUACUGCCAGCAUUAGCCUGGCUCAAUAUCUGAUCAAUGUCAGGCUUUCCUCGGAGACCAACCGCAUGGGGAGCAGCUAA